Molecule: ribosomal RNA, 324 nt
Filed under: uncultured Deefgea sp.
Lineage: Bacteria; Pseudomonadati; Pseudomonadota; Betaproteobacteria; Neisseriales; Chitinibacteraceae
Description: bacterial SSU rRNA
Rfam family: Bacterial small subunit ribosomal RNA
Source: RNAcentral
ACUGGAGUUUGAUCCUGGCUCAGAUUGAACGCUGGCGGCAUGCUUUACACAUGCAAGUCGAACGGUAACAGGGUGCUUGCACCGCUGACGAGUGGCGAACGGGUGAGUAAUACAUCGGAAUGUACCCAGUAAUGGGGAUAACGCUUCGAAGGAGUGCUAAUACCGCAUACGCCCUCGAGGGUAGUGGGACCGCGAAGGCCGUCACGUUAUGAGCAGCCGAUGGCUGAUUAGCUAGUUGGUGAGGUAAAGGCUCACCAAGGCGACGAUCAGUAGCGGGUCUUAGAGGACGAUCCGCCACACUGGAACUGAGACACGGUCCAGACU